UACGGAGGAUGCAAGCGUUAUCCGGAAUGAUUGGGCGUAAAGCGUCCGCAGGUGGCUGUGUAAGUCUGCUGUCAAAGAGCGAAGCUCAACUUCGUAAAGGCAGUGGAAACUACACGGCUAGAGUGCGUUCGGGGCAGAGGGAAUUCCUGGUGUAGCGGUGAAAUGCGUAGAGAUCAGGAAGAACACCGGUGGCGAAGGCGCUCUGCUAGGCCGCAACUGACACUCAGGGACGAAAGCUAGGGGAGCGAAUGGG
This 253-nucleotide ribosomal RNA is filed under the name uncultured bacterium. Its description in RNAcentral is "partial 16S ribosomal RNA". It matches the Rfam family "Bacterial small subunit ribosomal RNA", at positions 524 to 776 of the family's 1533-position model. The record is from RNAcentral.